Small nuclear RNA from Ochotona curzoniae (black-lipped pika), 107 nucleotides. NCBI's taxonomy places the organism in Eukaryota, Metazoa, Chordata, Mammalia, Lagomorpha, Ochotonidae. The record is from RefSeq and is a predicted model, not a curated record.
GUGCUCGCUUUGGCAGCACAUACACUAAAAUUGGAAUGAUACAGAGAAGAUUAGCACAGCCCUUGCACAAGGGUAACAUGCACAUUUGUGAAGCGUUCCAUAUUUUU